UACGUAGGUGACAAGCGUUGUCCGGAUUUACUGGGCGUAAAGAGCGCGCAGGCGGUCGAUCAAGUCGAGUGUGAAAGCCCCCGGCUCAACUGGGGAGGGUCAUUCGAUACUGAUCGACUCGAAGGCAGGAGAGGGUAGUGGAAUUCCCGGUGUAGUGGUGAAAUGCGUAGAUAUCGGGAGGAACACCAGUGGCGAAGGCGGCUUCCUGGACCAGUACCGACGUUCAGGCACGAAAGCGUGGGGAGCAAACAGG
RNAcentral lists this ribosomal RNA (253 nucleotides) under uncultured bacterium. Its description in RNAcentral is "partial 16S ribosomal RNA". It matches the Rfam family "Bacterial small subunit ribosomal RNA", at positions 524 to 776 of the family's 1533-position model. The record is from RNAcentral.